Molecule: non-coding RNA, 28 nt
Filed under: Rattus norvegicus (Norway rat)
Lineage: Eukaryota; Metazoa; Chordata; Mammalia; Rodentia; Muridae
Source: RNAcentral
UCAGUCUACUGGCAAUGGGUGUCAAUGC